This is a long non-coding RNA of Aethalodelphis obliquidens (Pacific white-sided dolphin), 624 nucleotides long. RefSeq lists it as uncharacterized. Lineage: Eukaryota; Metazoa; Chordata; Mammalia; Artiodactyla; Delphinidae. The transcript is spliced from 2 exons. The record is from RefSeq and is a predicted model, not a curated record.
CCGGAGUUCGUCACCUGUGUGAUUUAGCUGUCGGGAUGCGCUAAGAUGACUGCUCAAGGGUGAGCCUGCCAGUUAAGGCGGACGCCAGGAAUUGGAGACUGACACACCAAACGCAUAUCCAGGCCCCCCACCUUGAGUCCGCUUUGUUUUUUGUUUGUUUGCUUGUUUUUCUGUUUGACACAACUUCUCAACCGUGUGCCCCACAGGAAACCUGUAGCUUGGAGUGGGUUCAGGGGUGCCUUGGAUGCUCCCAGGAAAGGAGGGGAACCCUUGCAGUUCCGGAGGAAUUCGGAGACGCAAUCACUCGACCCCGGGAGCACACCACACCGGCAGGCUGAAGAGCUCAGCACUCUUCAUUUCCGAACGAAGGUCACAGCUGAUAACUUCAGGGACACCAGAUCCGGUUGCUCAGCUGCCUGAUGCUAGCUUUGGCCAUAAAUUUGCAGAAGAAAAGAAAUGCAAGACCUUAAUUACUUUGAGCCUUAUCACCUAUCCCAGACCACGAGCCCCAAGCUAUAAAAACCUUUCCCAGUGGCGGGGCGGGGGCACAGUUCUUGAGACUCUAGCCUGCUGUGUUCCCCCUUUUGCCUAGCAAAGAAUAAAGCUACUUUUUCUCCUUCAAAA